RNAcentral lists this transfer RNA (76 nucleotides) under Acidobacteriota bacterium. Its description in RNAcentral is "Acidobacteria bacterium tRNA-Arg". It matches the Rfam family "tRNA". From Rfam's summary of the family: Transfer RNA (tRNA) molecules are approximately 80 nucleotides in length. Their secondary structure includes four short double-helical elements and three loops (D, anti-codon, and T loops). Lineage: Bacteria; Pseudomonadati; Acidobacteriota. The record is from RNAcentral. RNAcentral also lists the same sequence under 2 other names.
GGCCCCUUAGCUCAACAGGAUAGAGCUCAGGUUUCCUAAACCUGCGGUUCCGGUUCGAGUCCGGAAGGGGCCUCCA